Molecule: long non-coding RNA, 3416 nt
Organism: Octodon degus (degu)
Lineage: Eukaryota; Metazoa; Chordata; Mammalia; Rodentia; Octodontidae
Exons: 3
Source: RefSeq, a predicted model, not a curated record
UGACCCACAGCCACGACCAAGAUUUCCUAAAGCAGAGCUGUCCAGGAGUUAAAUAUCAACAGUCUAACAUGCACGGAAAGCAAACAAGACAACUUACCCGAGAGGAUAAAGAAGAUGCCGGAAACAAAGGCCAGUAUUGUCCUGUGGGGACGGAUGUGUCCUAUGUUGCUCAGAAUAAACCCAAUGAACAUGAAGAAGAGGCUGACCAGAGGGAACGGCGUGGCUGAGCGAAUCAUUUCUAAGGAAGGGGACAAAGGACCAACCUGUCAGUUCCAGAGGCCCUACUUGCUGGUCGGCAUCCCGGGCACCAGUGGCCCACGUCAGAACUUUGAAGAGACCUACUUAGAACGUUGACUGUGGACUCAGAUGUUAGCUGGGAGUUCAUGGGCAUCACAUAUUCUAUGGUGAAGCAGCGUCCUCGUUCCUCACCUGGGGAGACAAGAGUGAUACACAUUGCUAGGCGCUUCUUGAAUAUGGAUUGGAGCGCCACCAAAAACCUAUCACUUAGGAUCCUGUUGAUGUCCCUGGGGUCCUACCAAGGGAUGGUGUCAGAUCUCAGCUAAGAUUCGAGGCACAGGUAGAUACUGAGACAGCUAGACAAGGACAGAAGCCAUGCGUGACAACGGAGCUGAGCUGCGUACAGGAAGGAAGAGUGGUAGAGACUGGUGCCAGAAGUGGGGUUGCUACCCUGACUCCACAGCACUAGCUGUGCUCUAACCCCUGGCUGUGGGAGAAGUGAUGGAUGUACAGGAAGAGCCCCCUGCUGGCUCACUGGAGGCGCGUGCACGUUCGUGCCACCUCUGCAAGGCAGGUAGCGUAACCCUUCACGGCUUAAGGAAGAAGGGACAAAGGAAACACUGAGUUAUUCUACAACCAAGGGGGUCCUAGGUAGAGCAAUAGUUCUAUGGAAUAUUCUAGAAGACAAAAAGGGAUUCUGGUUAGAAAAAGUAACUUGGGUAGCACUGAAGAAUCACACUGCAUGUUAUAUUAAAGAGUGUUUGGCUUUUGUUUAUUCCAGAAUUAUCCAAGAUUCCUUCAACACAAAACGGCAUCCUAUUCUGCACGACCCACUUUGGGGACCAUGCGGGGAGACCUGCUCUGGCCAUUGCUGGGGAUUAUGCAAGGGGAGAGAUGACCGUGCUUUGAAAAUCUAAAGCGUGGGGCUGGGAGAAGUUCUUAAAUAAGGCAACGAUGGGCUAAGCCCCUUCUUGGGGAGCCGACAGAUCCGAGCUCCUGAAAUACAGCAGCCGUUGGCUGGCAGAGGCUGUGCAGCCAAUUUCCAUGUUAAGCUUGGCAGAGAGAUGAGGAAGAUUCAUGUCUUGGUGAUUUGGAGAGAUGAAAGUGGAGAGGGGAUUGGCUCUAAAUCUAAACGAAGACGCUGUUUGGCUCUACGACAGCAGACCCCCAAGCUUGCAGAAAACCCCAAGAGUCAACCCUUGAGUCUGUGGCAGAUUUGUGAAACUCCACAUGGGGUGAAAAUAACAAUCUUACUCAUUGGUAAACUACAUGUAUGCUGUUAAUAUAAUUUACAUAUGUAUGAAUAAAUAAUAUUACGGACAGUCCCAGCUAACUACCAGGCACUGUGCAAAGCCCCAUAUGUACCGUCUCUCACCAGGACCUCGUAAUGAUUCAUGAAUUAGCCCCAUUUCAUGGGCGGGGAAACAAGAAUUUGAAGAUGCUAAGGAGCCUCCAGGCAAUCAUAGUUGAGGGGCAGACUGUGGAUUUAGACUAGAUCUGACUGUAAGGUCUGUGCCUGGUGGAUGCCAUCCUUUACUGGAAAAAUAAGUGGGCUUCAGGAGUGUGGGGAUGAACUAGGUCACUUAGGGAAUCAGAAAUAUGUAAGACACAGUAUUGGGAAAACUUUCUAAGUGGCUGCGUGUCCCAUAAAGGCUUUAUGCUUUGGGGCUUCCCGUGGGAUAGCACGGGUCAGACCUUCUAGUACCAGUUGCAUGCUGGUACAUCCUGACUCAGCAGUUCCGAUGCAGAGAGCUACCGCGUAGGGGGCAGGAAUAAUAGUUCCCCCCCCCUCACGUAAGGCAAUGGAGUCCAAGGCCAUGGAGUGCCUGAGGUCACCCACUUGCUCCUGGGGGAGAGAAGGGCUUGACAGGUGAAUAUUACGGAUGCUUAUCCAAUACCUUUUUGUCUGUAUUGCAUGGAAAAUAACACAGAAAAUGAAAAUUAUGUGUAUUUUCCAUGUCUACGAACAGCACCAUUGUUAGUAUCUUAUUUAACGGCUGUUGGCCAUGUGUCCCCUACAUGACUGUGCACAUUCACCCACCCGGGGGCUUCUGGGGACCCUGAGAGACGCUCUAGUCAGGAAUGGACUCUCGGCUCCGCAUAGGCGGGCCAGCUUGCCUCAGCCUCUGCUGCUGCAUGGGUCCUUCUCCACCUCACGACUUCCAUCGCUCUUCCACAUUCAGAGCUUUUCUGAUGAGACAGACUUUUUAAAAAUAAACUGCCACUACACAAAAAUACGUUUACCCUAUAAUGUUCCGCAAACAAAUCUGCCUGUAAUACCACACAUUUAACGUAAGACUAACUGUGUGAACAAUUAGACUGGGCAGGAAUAAACCAAAAUGACGAUGGGUGCUCCUAGGUAUUAAGAGCGUAUAUGGGGUAGCCGCUGUAGACUUCUCCAGGCUCAACAAAGGUCCAAAAGAACACCUAUUAUUUCCAGGGCCUGAGAAGAAGACCAAGCUUAAGAUUAGAGAUGCCAAGUUUCAGUCAUGGCUGUCAUAAACAAAAAAUCAGCGCUUCUGCUCAUUUCUGGGCUGGAGACAUCAAAAUGCAAGGUCGCCCUUUGGAAAUGUGCUCAGGAGCUCAGCGGCUUUCAGUUUUUAAAGAUGAUUACCCAGGACCAUUACCUCUGAGUAUUAGCUUGUUAAUUAUCGGGAAUUAACAGUAACUAAUUAUCAUGCGUGACUAGCAAUUAGGGAGAAAUGUCAUGUGGAGACUGCAUCAGUAAUAGUACACUCUCUGCCCAAGUCAGUAAUCCAAGGACUUGCAGUGAGGUGCUUCGGGGCUGAGAGGAGGCAGGAGAGGCUACAGGUGCUCGUGGAGGUCCAGCUUCAGGACUAGAGGAAGGAGGAAUGCAGCUUAACUGGGCAAGAGUAGAAAGAAGGUGGAAGGAGAGUCACAUGCAGACACCCUGAUCUGUUUCCUGCAAGUCUGAACAAACCCCAGUAGCUCUUUGAUGAAGAAGGGUUUGGGAAAUAAGGGUUCUUCACCAGGCUUCAGAGCCAGCAGCAGAAGGUGCUCCUGUGAGCUGAUUCAGUGACUCAGUGGCAGCAUGGGCGACACCCAGCAGGAUUAGCUGGCGAUCUAAGGACAUCCCCAGUGCUUUCCUGGCCCUGCCUACUCCCAUGAUGGCAUUCUCUUUAUCUUCUGUGGUGGUUCACAGAUGUUCCAAAAUUUCU